Molecule: ribosomal RNA, 459 nt
Filed under: uncultured bacterium
Lineage: Bacteria
Description: bacterial SSU rRNA
Rfam family: Bacterial small subunit ribosomal RNA
Source: RNAcentral
UACGGAAGGCAGCAGUGGGGAAUAUUGCACAAUGGGCGAAAGCCUGAUGCAGCUAUGCCGCGUGUAUGAAGAAGGCUUUAGGGUUGUAAAGUACUUUCAUCGGGGAGGAAAAAACAAAACUAAUAAUUUUAUUUCUUGACGUUACCCGAAAAAGAAGCACCGGCUAACUCCGUGCCAGCAGCCGCGGUAAUACGGAGGGUGCUAGCGUUAAUCAGAAUUACUGGGCGUAAAGAGCACGUAGGUGGUUUUUUUAAGUCAGAUGUGAAAUCCCUGGGCUUAACCUAGGAACUGCAUUUUGAAACUGAAAUACUAGAGUAUCGUAGAGGGAGGUAGAAUUCUAGGUGUAGCGGUGAAAUGCGUAGAUAUCUGGAGGAAUACCUGUGGCGAAAGCGGCCUCCUAAACGAAUACUGACACUGAGGGUGCGAAAAGCGUGGGGAGCAAAACAGGGAUUAGAUACC